ACCAGAAUUGCACGCAAUAUUCCAACAGUGGCCUAAACUCAUAUCUUGCAAGGCAUUCGCCUGCGAUUCUGGAUUGCUAGUCCACUGACAGCACCUAUUUACCACUAUCUUCCCUGCCAGCCUGGCUCUGGUCUUAAGGAACCCAGGAAUUAUUGAAGCUGAUUGUUUACUUCAUCUGUGCAGAGAUCGCCUUUCCAACUUGCUUUGAUGUAAUCUUCCAUUGGUUCCAGUUUCUCCUUUUCCUUUCUUCCUGUAGGAUUUUGAAGUAUGAUUGAAAGGUUUUAGAGGUCCUCACAUUAUAAAGAAGUGGAUUUCCCUUCCUCAGAGGAAAAGCAAACAGUCCGUUGGGUGUCAUGGGAAGAAGAGGGCUACAGGUGAUCGUUGUCCAUGGAGUGUGCCCUCAGAUGUUGGAGAUGGCUGGCCAAGGUGGAGGCCCACAGGACUAACCUACGAACUGGAGCUAUCUGCUCUCAGUUGGCAUCCAGAUUCUCUACACUUUGUGUGGGAGAAUAGCAAAUCGCUAUCAAUGAAGCAAGCACAGUUUGAGUCACUGCUGGGCAGAUAGCCAUCCUCUUCGGAAAACUGGACCGGCCGCC
RNA transcript from Chiloscyllium plagiosum (whitespotted bambooshark), 596 nucleotides. It is a transcript of the gene named kelch repeat and BTB domain containing 13a, with no coding region annotated. NCBI's taxonomy places the organism in Eukaryota, Metazoa, Chordata, Chondrichthyes, Orectolobiformes, Hemiscylliidae. The record is from RefSeq and is a predicted model, not a curated record.